This 446-nucleotide ribosomal RNA is filed under the name uncultured bacterium. Its description in RNAcentral is "partial 16S ribosomal RNA". It matches the Rfam family "Bacterial small subunit ribosomal RNA", at positions 338 to 795 of the family's 1533-position model. The record is from RNAcentral.
CCUACGGGCGGCAGCAGUCGAGAAUCAUUCACAAUGGGGGAAACCCUGAUGGUGCGACGCCGCGUGGGGGAAUGAAGGUCUUCGGAUUGUAAACCCCUGUCAUGUGGGAGCAAAUUAAAAAGAUAGUACCACACGAGGAAGAGACGGCUAACUCUGUGCCAGCAGCCGCGGUAAUACAGAGGUCUCAAGCGUUGUUCGGAAUCACUGGGCGUAAAGCGUGCGUAGGCUGUUUCGUAAGUCGUGUGUGAAAGGCGCGGGCUCAAGCCGCGGACGGCACAUGAUACUGCGAGACUAGAGUAAUGGAGGGGGAACCGGAAUUCUCGGUGUAGCAGUGAAAUGCGUAGAUAUCGAGAGGAACACUCGUGGCGAAGGCGGGUUCCUGGACAGUAACUGACGCUGAGGCACGAAGGCCAGGGGAGCGAAAGGGAUUAGAUACCCCAGUAGUC